GACCCAGACUCCUACGGGAGGCAGCAGUGGGGAAUAUUGCACAAUGGGGGAAACCCUGAUGCAGCGACGCCGCGUGAGCGAUGAAGUAUUUCGGUAUGUAAAGCUCUAUCAGCAGGGAAGAAGAUGACGGUACCUGACUAAGAAGCCCCGGCUAACUACGUGCCAGCAGCCGCGGUAAUACGUAGGGGGCAAGCGUUAUCCGGAUUCACUGGGUGUAAAGGGAGCGUAGACGGCGACGCAAGUCUGGAGUGAAAGCCCGGGGCCCAACCCCGGGACUGCUCUGGAAACUGCGUCGCUGGAGUACGGGAGGGGCAGGCGGAAUUCCUGGUGUAGCGGUGAAAUGCGUAGAUAUCAGGAGGAACACCGGCGGCGAAGGCGGCCUGCUGGACCGUGACUGACGUUGAGGCUCGAGAGCGUGGGGAGCAAACAGGAUUAGAUACCCGGGUAU
This 448-nucleotide ribosomal RNA is filed under the name uncultured bacterium. RNAcentral's name for it is "bacterial SSU rRNA". It matches the Rfam family "Bacterial small subunit ribosomal RNA", at positions 328 to 793 of the family's 1533-position model. The record is from RNAcentral.